ACGGAGGCAGUAGUGGGGAAUAUUGGGCAAUGGGCGCAAGCCUGACCCAGCAAUGCCGCGUGAAGGAAGAAGGCUUUCGGGUUGUAAACUUCUUUUAAGUGGGACGAUAAUGACGGUACCACUUGAAUAAGCUCCGGCUAACUACGUGCUAGCAGCCGCGGUAAUACGUAGGGAGCAAGCGUUAUCCGGAUUUACUGGGUGUAAAGGGCGUGUAGGCGGGACUACAAGUCAGAUGUGAAAGCACGGGGCUCAACUCCGUGUCUGCAUCUGAAACUGCAGUUCUUGAGUGCUGGAGAGGCUAACGGAAUUCCUAGUGUAGCGGUGAAAUGCGUAGAUAUUAGGAGGAACACCAGUGGCGAAGGCGGUUGGCUGGACAGUAACUGACGCUGAGGCGCGAAAGCGUGGGUAGCAAACAGGAUUAGAUACCCUGGUA
RNAcentral lists this ribosomal RNA (433 nucleotides) under uncultured Oscillospiraceae bacterium. Its description in RNAcentral is "partial 16S ribosomal RNA". It matches the Rfam family "Bacterial small subunit ribosomal RNA", at positions 341 to 792 of the family's 1533-position model. Lineage: Bacteria; Bacillati; Bacillota; Clostridia; Eubacteriales; Oscillospiraceae. The record is from RNAcentral.